AGGUAGGGUCUGGUACCUCACUGCUGAUUUCCCUGGCAAAUAAACCAGCAGCUGCUGGUCCAUGAACCAAGUUACCGCCAGGACCAGGGCACUGUGUGCAUGGAACAGGAUGCAUUCAUGGAACCCUUCAGCAGCACGGCUGGGGUCCUUCGGUGCAAGAUAUACCUCCUUCUCUUAGCAGGUGCCUGCUCGGGGCUGAGGGUGGCGGUGCCAUCACAGACCGUCCAUGGCAUCAGGGGUCAGGCUCUCUAUCUCCCUGUGCACUAUGGAUUCCACACUCCAGCAUCAGACAUCCAGGUCAUAUGGCUUUUUGAGAGACCCCAUACGAUGCCCAAGUACUUGCUGGGCUCUGUGAACAAGUCUGUGGUUCCCGACUUGGAAUACCAGCACAAAUUCACCAUGAUGCCACCCAAUGCCUCCCUGCUCAUCAACCCACUGCAGUUCACCGAUGAAGGCAAUUACAUUGUGAAGAUCAACAUCCAGGGAAACGGAACUCUGUCAGCUAGUCAGAAGAUUCAAGUCACGGUUGAUGACCCGGUCACGAAACCAGUGGUGCGGGUUCAGCCUUCCUCUGGGGCUGUGGAGCACGUGGGAAACCUGACUCUGACGUGCCUCGUGGAAGGGGGCAGCCGGCGGGCUUACCAGUGGCUGAAGAAUGGGCGGCCUGUCCACACCAGCUCCACCAGCUCCUUCUCUCUUCAGAACAACAGCCUUCAUAUUGCUCCAGUGACCAAAGAAGACAUUGGGAACUACAGUUGUCUGGUGAAGAACCCUGUCAGUAAGAUGGAAAGCGACAUCAUUAUGCCUACCAUAUACUAUGGACCUUAUGGACUUCAAGUUAAUUCUGAUAGAGGACUAAAAGUAGGGGAAGUGUUCACUGUGGAUAUUGGAGAAGCCAUCUUGUUUGAUUGUUCUGCUGAUUCUUAUCCUCCCAACACCUACUCCUGGAUCCAGAAGACAAACAAUGCCACAUAUGUCAUUAAGCAUGGGCCUCGCUUGGAAGUUGCAUCCGAGAAAAUAGCCCAGAAGACAACCGACUAUGUGUGCUGUGCUUACAACAACAUAACUGGAAGGCGAGAUGAAACUCACUUCACCAUCAUCAUCACUUCUGUAGGAAUAGAGAAGCUUGCACAGAAAGGGAAAUCAUUGUCCCCUUUAGCAAGUAUAACUGGAAUAUCACUCUUUUUGAUUAUAUCCAUGUGUCUUCUUCUCUUAUGGAAAAAAUUUCAACCCUACAAAGUUAUAAAACAAAAGCUAGAAGGCAGGCCAGAAACAGAAUACAGGAAAGCACGAACAUUUUCAGGCCACGAGGAUGCGCUGGAUGACUUUGGAAUAUACGAAUUUGUUGCUUUCCCAGAUGCUUCUGGUGUUUCCAGGGUUGGUUUUCUAGUGGCUGCUUAUCCUAGAAGUAGCAUUCUGCUUCAGCAGAGGUAUGCCCACGAGAUCUGUUCCAGCCUCUGAUGGUGUACCAGGGCAAGAUCUGCACAGUACAAUUUACGAAGUUAUUCAGCACAUCCCUGCCCAACAGCAAGAUCAUCCAGAGUAAGCAUUCGUGGGCAAAGCAGUGCAUUUAAGUGAAAUAAGGAAAGCACAUUUUGAGCAAGCAGUGGAAAUGUAUAUUCAUCUGGAAUCAGUGAAGAAAUCAAGCCAGUACCUCUUACUCAUUGGUCCUUUUAAUGCAGAAUAAAGUCAUUUAUAAAAAUCUGACCGCAGAUUUUCCAGCAUACACACAAUGCAUUGUGCAGCAGAGGAGCGUGGUGGGGCAAGAGUUCCCAGAGGACAGCCUUUAUCGUGCUGACAGAAGAAAGAAAAGGACGGGACUUUCCAAUUACUUUUUUUGUAUCAUGUUUCCUACAAAGCUCAAUUAGUUCUAAUCUAUACUUUCCCUUUCCUCAGCACCGACACUAUCCUAUCUGACCUACAAGUGUGGAAACUUUUAUUUGUAAAAUCUUCAGCAGGCUUUGUUUUAUUAAAUUUUAAAUUGCUACACUUUUAAAUUUUCAUUCCCAAAUUUCCUUCUUGCUGUUUGUACCAUGGAAUAAUAAAGAUGAUUGUCACAAAAGCAAGAGUGUGCCCUCUCCUAGGUUGUCAAUCACCAAUGGAGUUUUUUACAAGACUUGUAAAACACUGAAGGAAAUGACUUAUUAAAGUCUGAUUUUUACUUUUGUUCAAGGAACAGGAUUCAAAUAAAUUAUUAUGCUUUUGCUUGUAUAUA
This is an RNA transcript of Cervus elaphus (red deer), 2215 nucleotides long. It is a transcript of the gene named HEPACAM family member 2, with no coding region annotated. Lineage: Eukaryota; Metazoa; Chordata; Mammalia; Artiodactyla; Cervidae. The transcript has 10 exons. The record is from RefSeq and is a predicted model, not a curated record.